Molecule: ribosomal RNA, 1017 nt
Filed under: uncultured organism
Description: bacterial SSU rRNA
Rfam family: Bacterial small subunit ribosomal RNA
Source: RNAcentral
GAGGAAUAUUGGUCAAUGGACGAGAGUCUGAACCAGCCAAGUAGCGUGAAGGAUGACUGCCCUAUGGGUUGUAAACUUCUUUUAUACGGGAAUAAAGUGAGGCACGUGUGCCUUUUUGUAUGUACCGUAUGAAUAAGGAUCGGCUAACUCCGUGCCAGCAGCCGCGGUAAUACGGAGGAUCCGAGCGUUAUCCGGAUUUAUUGGGUUUAAAGGGAGCGUAGGCGGACGCUUAAGUCAGUUGUGAAAGUUUGCGGCUCAACCGUAAAAUUGCAGUUGAUACUGGGUGUCUUGAGUACAGUAGAGGCAGGCGGAAUUCGUGGUGUAGCGGUGAAAUGCUUAGAUAUCACGAAGAACUCCGAUUGCGAAGGCAGCUUGCUGGACUGUAACUGACGCUGAUGCUCGAAAGUGUGGGUAUCAAACAGGAUUAGAUACCCUGGUAGUCCACACAGUAAACGAUGAAUACUCGCUGUUUGCGAUAUACAGUAAGCGGCCAAGCGAAAGCGUUAAGUAUUCCACCUGGGGAGUACGCCGGCAACGGUGAAACUCAAAGGAAUUGACGGGGGCCCGCACAAGCGGAGGAACAUGUGGUUUAAUUCGAUGAUACGCGAGGAACCUUACCCGGGCUUGAAUUGCAACUGAAUGAUGUGGAGACAUGUCAGCCGCAAGGCAGUUGUGAAGGUGCUGCAUGGUUGUCGUCAGCUCGUGCCGUGAGGUGUCGGCUUAAGUGCCAUAACGAGCGCAACCCUUAUCGAUAGUUACUAGCAGGUCAUGCUGAGGACUCUAUUGAGACUGCCGUCGUAAGAUGUGAGGAAGGUGGGGAUGACGUCAAAUCAGCACGGCCCUUACGUCCGGGGCUACACACGUGUUACAAUGGGGGGUACAGAAGGCAGCUACACGGCGACGUGGUGCUAAUCCCGAAAGCCUCUCUCAGUUCGGAUUGGAGUCUGCAACCCGACUCCAUGAAGCUGGAUUCGCUAGUAAUCGCGCAUCAGCCACGGCGCGGUGAAUACGUUCCCG